GUCUAAUCGCCAGUAGUUUUGGGGACGUUUCAAGAGGCAGUUUAAAGGCGAUGUUUCAACAUUUCAGAGCUCGCUGCUCUAAAACCUUCACUAUUUGGAGAAAAAUCCUGUAAUGUUUUCCUCUAAAACCUUAAUUUCUUUGCGACUGAAAACAGAAAGGCAUAAACAUCUUGGAUGAGAUGGGGAGUCAGCGAUAGGUGGGCUUGACGUACUCGGGUGGGAAAAAGCCCACACGGCCGCGACAACAACCUUUCCAGCGCUGAGAAUCAGAGCAGUCCAGCAGUUCUAUGACAUCACCCCGCAGGAAGUGCAGCUGGGAGUCGUGCUC
Molecule: long non-coding RNA, 328 nt
Organism: Carassius auratus (goldfish)
Lineage: Eukaryota; Metazoa; Chordata; Actinopteri; Cypriniformes; Cyprinidae
Exons: 3
Source: RefSeq, a predicted model, not a curated record